CCGUGCUAGACGGGGAGAUAGCGGUGCCCUGUACCCGCGAUCCGCUCAAGCGGGGUCGAACUCCCUCCCGAGGCCUGUCCCUCUUGGGGUCCUGCCCGUCGCAAGCGGCGUUGAUAGCCGGGUCCUGCGCAACGGGGCUCUGUGAACCCCGUCAGGACCGGAAGGUAGCAGCGGUAAGCAGAUUACCUCGUGUGCCGCGGGGUUGCCUGACUGGAGCUGGCUACGGCGGUUACGCCUGGGAGAGCUUGUCGACGGAGGGUGCACGG
Molecule: signal recognition particle RNA, 266 nt
Filed under: Bacillota bacterium
Lineage: Bacteria; Bacillati; Bacillota
Description: signal recognition particle sRNA large type
Rfam family: Bacterial large signal recognition particle RNA
About the family: The signal recognition particle (SRP) is a universally conserved ribonucleoprotein involved in the co-translational targeting of proteins to membranes. Archaeal SRP consists of a 7S RNA and homologues of the eukaryotic SRP19 and SRP54 proteins.
Source: RNAcentral